AGUGAACGCUGGCGGUAGGCCUAACACAUGCAAGUCGAACGGCAGCACAGUAAGAGCUUGCUCUUACGGGUGGCGAGUGGCGGACGGGUGAGGAAUACAUCGGAAUCUACUUUUUCGUGGGGGAUAACGUAGGGAAACUUACGCUAAUACCGCAUACGACCUACGGGUGAAAGCAGGUGAUCUUCGGACCUUGCGCGAUUGAAUGAGCCGAUGUCGGAUUAGCUAGUUGGCGGGGUAAAGGCCCACCAAGGCGACGAUCCGUAGCUGGUCUGAGAGGAUGAUCAGCCACACUGGAACUGAGACACGGUCCAGACUCCUACGGGAGGCAGCAGUGGGGAAUAUUGGACAAUGGGCGCAAGACUGAUCCAGCCAUACCGCGUGGGUGAAGAAGGCCUUCGGGUUGUAAAGCCCUUUUGUUGGGAAAGAAAAGCAGCAGGUUAAUACCCCGCUGUUCUGACGGUACCCAAAGAAUAAGCACCGGCUAACUUCGUG
RNAcentral lists this ribosomal RNA (492 nucleotides) under uncultured bacterium. Its description in RNAcentral is "partial 16S ribosomal RNA". It matches the Rfam family "Bacterial small subunit ribosomal RNA", at positions 29 to 507 of the family's 1533-position model. The record is from RNAcentral.